CAAUAUAUAGUUUAAAUAAAAACAUUAAUUUUGGGGAUUAAAGAUAUUUUUAAUAAAUUAUUUUGA
RNAcentral lists this transfer RNA (66 nucleotides) under Euaspis polynesia. Its description in RNAcentral is "tRNA-Pro". The record is from RNAcentral. Lineage: Eukaryota; Metazoa; Arthropoda; Insecta; Hymenoptera; Megachilidae.